Molecule: ribosomal RNA, 532 nt
Filed under: uncultured Solirubrobacteraceae bacterium
Lineage: Bacteria; Bacillati; Actinomycetota; Thermoleophilia; Solirubrobacterales; Solirubrobacteraceae
Description: bacterial SSU rRNA
Rfam family: Bacterial small subunit ribosomal RNA
Source: RNAcentral
AGAGUUUGAUCCUGGCUCAGGGCGAACGCUGGCGGCGUGCUUAACACAUGCAAGUGGUGCGACGAACCAGGGCUUGCCCUGGGGCAAAGCCGCGAACGGGUGAGUAACACGUGAGUAACCUGCCCCGAUGACCGGGACAACCCGAGGAAACUCGGGCUAAUACCGGAUGUGGCGCACAGACUCAAGCCUGUGCGCUAAAGGAAGCUUCGGCCUCCGCAUUGGGAGGGGCUCGCGGCCCAUUAGCUUGUUGGUGGGGUAACGGCCUACCAAGGCAACGAUGGGUAGCUGGUCUGAGAGGACGAUCAGCCACACUGGGACUGAGACACGGCCCAGACUCCUACGGGAGGCAGCAGUGGGGAAUCUUGCGCAAUGCGCGAAAGCGUGACGCAGCAACGCCGCGUGAGGGAAGACGGCCUUCGGGUUGUAAACCUCUUUCAGGAGGGACGAAGGUUCGCCGGUGAAUAGCCGUGCGGAUUGACGGUACCUCCAGAAGAAGCUCCGGCUAACUACGUGCCAGCAGCCGCGGUAAUAC